UUGUUGACGAGCGGGCCCAAGCACAUUGUAGUGAACCAUUAUAACGAGAGGCCACCGCCCAGUGGAAUUCACAUUUCUUUGCAAGCUGUGUAGGAUUGUAGCUAUAACAUCAGUCCCAAGUUUGCUCAGUUUAUUCUGGCAAAGACUCACCGCUUGCAUUGAACUGCAAGAGGGUUUUCCUGAUGGAGAGCAGUAACUGUCCACAAGAUUGCCCGGGUUUCCAGUACUUCCCUCCUCCAUCGGCAGGGGACGUUCCGGUUUCUGUAUCUUUGGAAAGCGAGAUUUCUGUGUGCCGGGAGACUACGAGGUGGAUCACCGUCAGCGCGGUCAUCGUUGUUGCCGUCGUAGCCACCGGUGUUGUUAUAAAAAAUCGCCGUGGUCGGGAUAGAACCACCACUCCAUUGAAAAUGAUAUGGAUUUCAAAUAUAAGGCCGCCAACGACACCUCCUCCGCCGCCGCCGCCGCCGCCACCGCCACUGCCGCCACCGCGCUGUUGUGAUCCGUGUGAUCCAUGUGAUUCAUGUUGUCAUCAGAUACAUUGGCAGCCGUCGUGCUAUCCGUGUGAUCCGUGUUGUCAUCAAUUAAACAUAUUACCAUGCGGGGUAAUUGAAUGAUGCAUAAUGAUAGAUCGUCUACACUUAGCAUGGGCACUUCUAAGUCCUAUGAAUUGUAAUUUGAUUUUUCAAUCCAAUUAUGCAAUUAUCUUGGA
Molecule: long non-coding RNA, 709 nt
Organism: Eucalyptus grandis
Lineage: Eukaryota; Viridiplantae; Streptophyta; Magnoliopsida; Myrtales; Myrtaceae
Exons: 2
Source: RefSeq, a predicted model, not a curated record